RNAcentral lists this long non-coding RNA (1313 nucleotides) under Dromaius novaehollandiae (emu). Its description in RNAcentral is "lncRNA (ENSDNVG00000018403.1)". Lineage: Eukaryota; Metazoa; Chordata; Aves; Casuariiformes; Dromaiidae. The record is from RNAcentral.
ACCCAUCUUUCCCCCUCCCUCCCUUACAGCAGCUCUUGGUAGUCAGUCAGAGAUUAAAGAAUUCAUGCCCACUAAUAGAAAUCAUCUGUGCGGAUCGACUGUUUUUCAGGCAGACGCUGUCCCUGUGGAUGCAGUACUCUGAACCUUGAUCAAAUGGGCCAAAACUAAGCUGAUCCCUCUAUUCAUUAAUGGCCUCCUUGAAGUUGGCAGGAUGCCCUGAAGACCUUGACUUCAGCGUGUAUUUUCAGGACUGAGAGAGCUUGAAAAAGAAAUGGAGUUUCUCUCCCCUGGAGGCUUGACUGCUGUGAGAGGUUCCUCCAGCUGGACUGAGUGAACCGCUUUGAACUCAGUUCAUCACAGGGAAGGUGCUACCCCUAUAUGUAUAGCUCCUGAAUGCUCAGUUAUAAUUAUUAUUUUCUUUAAGGAAGUCAUGAUUAAUAGUUCUUAGGUGUGGAUGACUGCCAAUGGCACCUUCUAUGGGAUGAUUUCUCUGCCCAUGAAGACGAAAGYGUGGGCCUUCAGCAGCAAUGCAGGACCUUCCUCUAAAAAUUUUGCCUCAAAGGAAUGGCAGCUUGUGGCCCAUGGCUAUGAAGGCUGUUACGAAGAUCAUCAUGAGGACAGUACAUGGAGUAAAUGCUGAGUUCAGAGUAGGUAAUGCUCCAUGGAGGUGAGCAGCUGCUGGGAGACACACUCAUGAGGGAUGGGAAAGCCUUUGGAGCCAGCAGAGCCCAGCACCAUCUCCAAGGAGUAGGGUCCAGCCGCAAUCCCUGUUGGAUAAAUCUCUCCAAACUGAGCUGCUCUGGGUACAUGUCCAGCUGGAAGCUUGUAUGAUAUGGUAUGGUGAGUGAUACUGUAACAGAGAGGCUGACAGAGUUGUGUCAGCUCUUGCAUAAAUAUGCAUGACCUUUCUCUCUGUCCUACCCCACUGGAUUUUCUAGUACAACUAAUUGCAAUGGCAAGAUCCAGUCCUUUAGCUGCCAGGAUGCUGCAAUGCACUGAAGUACAGGGAGGAUGGAGGAGUCCAUGGCUGUGUGCUUUGCUGCUACGCUCCCCCAGGCAAAAACACUGAUGUGCUCCAGGAGCAGCUUGGUCCCCACCUGGCCAGGGAGCAGGGCAGGGCUCUGCAGCAAGUUUGUUGCUGCUGGCUGGAAAUGGCCCUGCUCAGUGUGAAGGUCAGUGAUAUAUUCUCCUGCGGCUUGGUAUCAGUCAAGUCACAGCCUCACCGGUGUCAGAUCUGCAAUGAAAGAUAUUCUCCUUUGCCUUCUCCUCCUUCUCCCCGGGUUUAAUUCUUUGAAAACUGUAGCUGGUUUUCA